RNAcentral lists this unclassified non-coding RNA (329 nucleotides) under soil metagenome. RNAcentral's name for it is "partial contains 5.8S ribosomal RNA, internal transcribed spacer 2, and large subunit ribosomal RNA". The stretch from base 1 to 120 matches the Rfam family "5.8S ribosomal RNA", at positions 35 to 154 of the family's 154-position model. The record is from RNAcentral.
GAUGAAGAACGUAGCGAAAUGCGAUAAUUAAUGUGAAUUGCAGAAUUUAGUGAAUCAUCGAAUCUUUGAACGCACAUUGCGCCCCUUGGUAUUCCGGGGGGCAUGCCUGUUCGAGCGUCAUUUCAACCCUCAAGCUCUGCUCGGUCUUGGGCCGCGCCGGCAACGGCGGGCCUCAAAAACAGUGGCGGCGCCAUCUGGUCCCUCAGCGUAGUAAUUCUUCUCGCUGCUGGGCCCCGGUGGCCGCUUGCCAGCAACCCCAAACUUUCUAUGGUUGACCUCGGAUCAGGUAGGGAUACCCGCUGAACUUAAGCAUAUCAAUAAGCGGAGGA